GCCUCCUCCUCCCCUGCGGCUCCGACCGAGGAGCUGCCCGACUCUGCUCGGGAAAGGCCCAGCAAAGAGUGGACCGAAGCCAUGUGUUCCUGCCAGCAGAUUGUUCCACUACGAUUUUAAGGACACCGUUUACUUGGUUUCAGAAACCCCAGAGUGCUGGAGGCAGAGGUAGCUGUGCAUCAUUCCUGUUCCCCCUCUGUGGGGAAGAGGAGAGUGUAUUAACAGAUUAUGGAUCUUCUGACUCGUCCAAGUGGAGAUAUUAUGCGGCGGAAUCCACAGCAAGACUACGAGCUCAUCCAGCGAGUGGGGAGUGGCACCUAUGGAGAUGUCUAUAAGGCCAGAAAUGUGCACAGUGGCGAGUUGGCUGCAGUUAAAAUUAUCAAACUAGAACCAGG
Molecule: non-coding RNA, 395 nt
Organism: Python bivittatus (Burmese python)
Lineage: Eukaryota; Metazoa; Chordata; Lepidosauria; Squamata; Pythonidae
Source: RefSeq, a predicted model, not a curated record